AACGGCCGGCGAGAUCCGACGCGCGCGCGGCGAGAUCCAUCUCUCUCUCACACGAGAGGGAAAAUCCCCAUGACUCCUCCUCCUCCUCUCUGGAUCGAUCCCCUCCAACCCACAUCUUCCCCCUCUCUGGAUCGAUCCCCUCCAACCCAGCCACCGCAGACCUCCCCCAACCCCGACCUCCUCCACCGCCGGCGACCCCUUCUCUUCCUCCCCCAACCCAGCCACCUCCAGUAGCAGAUCCAUGCAGGACAGAUCUGAGCUCCCCUGCCUCCGUUGCUCCCUUUCCCCCGACCAGAUCUUCCUCUUGCGUUCUGGCACCUCGCCAGCGUGGCUCCGGCGUUGCUCUGGCGACUCAGGUGAGUCCCUCCAUUUGUCCUCGUCGCAUAUCUCCCUCCCUCUCUUCCUCACCUCAUCUUGUCUCCCUUGCAGAUCCAGCACAACGUCGUUGCUCGAGCACCGGGACGCCAUCGACGGGAAGUCUUCCUCCUCACCUCAUCUUGUCUCCCUCACAUGAACGAUGCAGCUUCACCGCUACCCUGACGCCAUCAAGGAGCAGCUACACGCCUGCAAGGCUGCAACAUCACCAACUCGACUUGGAUGCAGGGAGAGGAGACGCCCAACCAUGGGCAAGCUCUACGUCGGCAUCUGCCUUUGUAGCUUGGCCUAGGGUUAGCUGAAUGCUCAAGACAUGGGUAGUUCUGGGAGAUGGUGAUUAGGGACUGUUUUACAACACAUCAUCCUCUGUUUUUACACAUAGUUGUAGAAGAAAAUACUUUUACUUAUUGCAAGUCGCGACUGUCAUGCGUAUGUUAUGAAUUCAGAAACUAUAACAUGUUUUUUU
Triticum urartu is the source of this 841-nucleotide non-coding RNA. The record is from RefSeq and is a predicted model, not a curated record. NCBI's taxonomy places the organism in Eukaryota, Viridiplantae, Streptophyta, Magnoliopsida, Poales, Poaceae.